Molecule: ribosomal RNA, 253 nt
Filed under: uncultured bacterium
Lineage: Bacteria
Description: partial 16S ribosomal RNA
Rfam family: Bacterial small subunit ribosomal RNA
Source: RNAcentral
UACGUAGGGUGCGAGUGUUAAUCGGAAUUACUGGGCGUAAAGCGUGCGCAGGCGGCUUUGCAAGACAGAUGUGAAAUCCCCGGGCUCAACCUGGGAACUGCAUUUGUGACUGCAAGGCUAGAGUACGGCAGAGGGGGAUGGAAUUCCGCGUGUAGCAGUGAAAUGCGUAGAUAUGCGGAGGAACACCGAUGGCGAAGGCAAUCCCCUGGGCCUGUACUGACGCUCAUGCACGAAAGCGUGGGGAGCAAACAGG